Molecule: small nuclear RNA, 108 nt
Filed under: Myotis lucifugus (little brown bat)
Lineage: Eukaryota; Metazoa; Chordata; Mammalia; Chiroptera; Vespertilionidae
Description: U2 spliceosomal RNA
Rfam family: U2 spliceosomal RNA
About the family: U2 is a small nuclear RNA (snRNA) component of the spliceosome (involved in pre-mRNA splicing). Complementary binding between U2 snRNA (in an area lying towards the 5' end but 3' to hairpin I) and the branchpoint sequence (BPS) of the intron results the bulging out of an unpaired adenosine, on the BPS, which initiates a nucleophilic attack at the intronic 5' splice site, thus starting the first of two transesterification reactions that mediate splicing.
Source: Rfam by way of RNAcentral
AUCGCUUCUCGGCCUUUUGGCUAAGAUCAAGUGUAGAAAUAAGAAACGUGCACCAUAAUGAAACUAAAUUGCUGCUUUCUUUUUUAAAAAAUGUUUUUAUUAAUUUCA